Molecule: non-coding RNA, 202 nt
Organism: Pelobates cultripes (western spadefoot toad)
Lineage: Eukaryota; Metazoa; Chordata; Amphibia; Anura; Pelobatidae
Source: the annotation of a GenBank genome assembly
CCAGUCUCAGCAGCUGGCCCCACCUCCAUGACUAAGAUCAUCAGUUUUGAUGAUCUCAGCCAAUCCAAUGCUUUCUCAUAGGAAAGCAUUAGGAUGAUAUUGCUCAAACAUGUCAAAACGCUGCUCUGUGCCAAUUAGUAUUUCCUUAUAGAGAUGCAUUGAAUCAAUGCCUCUCUAUUGGAAUGUUCAUGCUAAUGUUCAU